AUUGAACGCUGGCGGCAUGCCUUACACAUGCAAGUCGAACGGCAGCACGGGUGCUUGCACCUGGUGGCGAGUGGCGAACGGGUGAGUAAUACAUCGGAACAUGUCCUGUAGUGGGGGAUAGCCCGGCGAAAGCCGGAUUAAUACCGCAUACGAUCUACGGAUGAAAGCGGGGGACCUUCGGGCCUCGCGCUAUAGGGUUGGCCGAUGGCUGAUUAGCUAGUUGGUGGGGUAAAGGCCUACCAAGGCGACGAUCAGUAGCUGGUCUGAGAGGACGACCAGCCACACUGGGACUGAGACACGGCCCAGACUCCUACGGGAGGCAGCAGUGGGGAAUUUUUGACAAUGGGCGAAAGCCUGAUCCAGCAAUGCCGCGUGUGUGAAGAAGGCCUUCGGGUUGUAAAGCACUUUUGUCCGGAAAGAAAUCCUUGGCCCUAAUACGGUCGGGGGAUGACGGUACCGGAAGAAUAAGCACCGGCUAACUACGU
RNAcentral lists this ribosomal RNA (485 nucleotides) under uncultured bacterium. RNAcentral's name for it is "partial 16S ribosomal RNA". It matches the Rfam family "Bacterial small subunit ribosomal RNA", at positions 30 to 506 of the family's 1533-position model. The record is from RNAcentral.